ACAAGCCUCAGCCUUCCAGUCUCCUGCAAGCACUCUCUGCUCUGUGGCACGGGGACUUUCCCUGCAGCAUCUUUGGGAGUGGCCUCCCUGUUUGGUCACUGCAAAGCCAUGCUUCCCCUGCCCUCCAAGGUUGCGACAUGUGUUGAUCAUACCUCCCUCCAUUGUCUCAUCCUCACACAGCACGC
RNAcentral lists this non-coding RNA (185 nucleotides) under Amphidinium carterae. The record is from RNAcentral. Lineage: Eukaryota; Dinophyceae; Amphidiniales; Amphidiniaceae.